GAUGAAGAACGCAGCGAAAUGCGAUAAGUAAUGUGAAUUGCAGAAUUCAGUGAAUCAUCGAAUCUUUGAACGCACAUUGCGCCCGCCAGUAUUCUGGCGGGCAUGCCUGUUCGAGCGUCAUUUCAACCAUCAAGCCCCCGGCUUGUGUUGGGGACCUGCGGCUGCCGCAGGCCCUGAAAAGCAGUGGCGAGCUCGCUGUCACACCGAGCGUAGUAGCAUACAUCUCGCUCUGGGCGUGCUGCGGGUUCCGGCCGUUAAACCACCUUCAUAACCCAAGGUUGACCUCGGAUCAGGUAGGAAGACCCGCUGAACUUAAGCAUAUCAAUAAGCGGAGGA
RNAcentral lists this unclassified non-coding RNA (336 nucleotides) under soil metagenome. RNAcentral's name for it is "partial contains 5.8S ribosomal RNA, internal transcribed spacer 2, and large subunit ribosomal RNA". The stretch from base 1 to 120 matches the Rfam family "5.8S ribosomal RNA", at positions 35 to 154 of the family's 154-position model. The record is from RNAcentral.